Molecule: long non-coding RNA, 483 nt
Organism: Oxyura jamaicensis (ruddy duck)
Lineage: Eukaryota; Metazoa; Chordata; Aves; Anseriformes; Anatidae
Exons: 3
Source: RefSeq, a predicted model, not a curated record
CAGGUAGGAGUCAUUUCCUUUAGCAAUCCGGCCAGUUACUUUCAUCAUCUUCCGUUCCCAUCCGAUUCCUACCUUGAAGCAUUUUGACCUCAGCCAUUGGAUCUUGUUACACCUUUGUCACUUGGACUAAAGAGACUUUUGAUGGCAAGCAGAUAGCAAUCAGGCAGCCAGCCCUUCCCAUGACACAGGACUUCCUUGGUGACAGCUGAAGAAUUCGCACUGAAUAUGUUUCCAGAUACAAGAGACUGCUCACACUAAAGAGACUGAUCGUAAGUGAUGAUUGUCACUUAACAUUAUGACAGCACUGAUCGAUUUUGAAUCUUCAGCCAUACAUCUAUGACAACAGAUUCAAGGAGAAGUGUUUUUGCUUGAAUCACCUGUAAAGAAGAGUUCUGUGGAAGAGCAAAUUCCGCAUGGAUAAGUGAAAGCGUCCAAAUUAGUAAAAUGGGCCUUAAUCCCCUGCAGAGAGUGCCAGUGAAGAAG